Molecule: ribosomal RNA, 465 nt
Filed under: Vreelandella stevensii
Lineage: Bacteria; Pseudomonadati; Pseudomonadota; Gammaproteobacteria; Oceanospirillales; Halomonadaceae
Description: partial 16S ribosomal RNA
Rfam family: Bacterial small subunit ribosomal RNA
Source: RNAcentral
CCUACGGGGCGCAGCAGUGGGGAAUAUUGGACAAUGGGCGAAAGCCUGAUCCAGCCAUGCCGCGUGUGUGAAGAAGGCCUUCGGGUUGUAAAGCACUUUCAGUGGGGAAGAAAGCCUUGGGGCUAAUACCCUCGAGGAAGGACAUCACCCACAGAAGAAGCACCGGCUAACUCCGUGCCAGCAGCCGCGGUAAUACGGAGGGUGCGAGCGUUAAUCGGAAUUACUGGGCGUAAAGCGCGCGUAGGCGGUCUGAUAAGCCGGUUGUGAAAGCCCCGGGCUCAACCUGGGAACGGCAUCCGGAACUGUCAGGCUAGAGGGCAGGAGAGGAAGGUAGAAUUCCCGGUGUAGCGGUGAAAUGCGUAGAGAUCGGGAGGAAUACCAGUGGCGAAGGCGGCCUUCUGGACUGACACUGACGCUGAGGUGCGAAAGCGUGGGUAGCAAACAGGAUUAGAUACCCCUGUAGUC